AAUUACUUGGCUGAAUGUUAAGCAGGUACCUUGAAAGUACCAUAAAAGAGUUUAAUUCUCUUAGUAAUUU
This 70-nucleotide transfer RNA is filed under the name Homidia socia. RNAcentral's name for it is "tRNA-Ser". It matches the Rfam family "tRNA". From Rfam's summary of the family: Transfer RNA (tRNA) molecules are approximately 80 nucleotides in length. Their secondary structure includes four short double-helical elements and three loops (D, anti-codon, and T loops). The record is from RNAcentral. Lineage: Eukaryota; Metazoa; Arthropoda; Collembola; Entomobryomorpha; Entomobryidae.